This 404-nucleotide ribosomal RNA is filed under the name uncultured bacterium. RNAcentral's name for it is "bacterial SSU rRNA". It matches the Rfam family "Bacterial small subunit ribosomal RNA", at positions 18 to 421 of the family's 1533-position model. The record is from RNAcentral.
CCUGGCUCAGAUUGAACGCUGGCGGCAUGCUUUACACAUGCAAGUCGAACGGCAGCGGGGGCUUCGGCCUGCCGGCGAGUGGCGAACGGGUGAGUAAUGCAUCGGAACGUGCCCAUGUCGUGGGGGAUAACGUAGCGAAAGCUACGCUAAUACCGCAUACGCCCUGAGGGGGAAAGCGGGGGAUUCUUCGGAACCUCGCGCGAUUGGAGCGGCCGAUGUCGGAUUAGCUAGUAGGUGAGGUAAAGGCUCACCUAGGCGACGAUCCGUAGCGGGUCUGAGAGGAUGAUCCGCCACACUGGGACUGAGACACGGCCCAGACUCCUACGGGAGGCAGCAGUGGGGAAUUUUGGACAAUGGGCGCAAGCCUGAUCCAGCCAUGCCGCGUGAGUGAAGAAGGCCUUCGG